CGAAGGUCGGGGUCCCAAGACCCCCCAGCGGAAAAAUGGCCAAGAAACGGGUGGGCUAUAGCCUUGGUGGGGGGCGUGGGCGAAGUUCGUCCGUGGGACUCGGAAUGGCCCCAGACUUGGCGGGCGGCCUCCGUGUGCCAAAAAUAGGCCACAGGCACAGCCGCGCCCAAAAAUCAGCCCCCGAAGGUCGGGGUCACAAGACCCCCCAGCGGAAAAAAGGCCAAGAAACGCGUGGGCUAUAGCCUUGGUGGGGGGCGUGGGCGAAGUUCGUCCGCGGGACUCGGAAUGGCCCCAGACUUGGCGGGCGGCCUCCGUGUGCCAAAAAUAGGCCACGGGCAAAGCCGCGCCCAAAAAUCAGCCCCCGAAGGUCGAGGUCACAAGACCCCCCAGCGGAAAAAAGGCCAAGAAACGCGUGAGCUAUAGCCUUGGUGGGGGGCGUGGGCGAAGUUCGUCCGCGGGACUCGGAAUGGCACCAUACUUGGCGGGCGGCCUCCGUGUGCCAAAAAUAGGCCACAGGCACAGCCGCGCCCAAAAAUCAGCCCCCGAAGGUCGGGGUCCCAAGACCCCCCAGCGGAAAAAUGGCCAAAAAACGGGUGGGCUAUAGCCUUGGUGGGGGGCGUGGGCGAAGUUCGUCCGCGGGACUCGGAAUGGCCCCAGACUUGGCGGGCGGCCUCCGUGUGCCAAAAAUAGGCCACGGGCACAGCCGCGCCCAAAAAUCAGCCCCCGAAGGUCGGGGUCCCAAGACCCCCCAGCGGAAAAAUGGCCAAGAAACGGGUGGGCUAUAGCCUUGGUGGGGAGCGUGGGCGAAGUUCGUCCGCGGGACUCGGAAUGGCCCCAGACUUGGCGGGCGGCCUCCGUGUGCCAAAAAUAGGCCACGGGCACAGCCGCGCCGAAAAAUCAGCCCCCGAAGGUCGGGGUCACAAGACCCCCCAGCGGAAAAAAGGCCAAGAAACGCGUGGGCUAUAGCCUUGGUGGGGGGCGUGGGCGAAGUUCGUCCGCGGGACUCGGAAUGGCCCCAGACUUGGCGGGCGGCCUCCGUGUGCCAAAAAUAGGCCACGGGCACAGCCGCGCCCAAAAAUCAGCCCCCGAAGGUCGGGGUCCCAAGACCCCCCAGCGGAAAAAAGGCCAAGAAACGGGUGGGCUAUAGCCUGGUGGGGGGCGGGGCGAAGUCCUUCCGCGGGACUCGGAAUGGCACCAUACUUGGCGGGCGGCCUCCGUGUGCCAAAAAUAGACCACGGGCACAGCCGCGCCCAAAAAUCAGCCCCCGAAAGUCGGGGUCACAACACCCCCCAGCGGAAAAAUGGCCAAAAAACGGGUGGGCUAUAGCCUUGGUGGGGGGCGUGGGCGAAGUUCGUCCGCGGGACUCGGAAUGGCACCAGACUUGGCGGGCGGCCUCCGUGUGCCAAAAAUAGGCCACGGGCACAGCCGCGCCCAAAAAUCAGCCCCCGAAGGUCGGGAUUCCAAGACCCCCCAGCGGAAAAAAGGCCAAAAAACGCGUGGGCUAUAGCCUUGGCGGGGGGCGUGGGCGAAGUUCGUCCGCGGGACUCGGAAUGGCACCAUACUUGGCGGGCGGCCUCCGUGUGCGAAAAAUAGGCCACGGGCACAGCCGCGCCCAAAAAUCAGCCCCCGAAGGUCGGGGUCACAGCACCCCCCAGCGGAAAAAUGGCCAAAAAACGGGUGGGCUAUAGCCUUGGUGGGGGGCGUGGGCGAAGUUCGUCUGCGGGACUCGGAAUGGCCCCAGACUUGGCGGGCGGCCUCCGUGUACCAAAAAUAGGCCACGGGCACAGCCGCGCCCAAAAAUCAGCCCCCGAAGGUCGGGGUCACAGCACCCCCCAGCGGAAAAAUGGCCAAAAAACGGGUGGGCUAUAGCCUUGGUGGGGGGCGUGGGCGAAGUUCGUCCGCGGGACUCGGAAUGGCACCAUACUUGGCGGGCGGCCUCCGUGUGCCAAAAAUAGGCCACGGGCACAGCCGCGCCCAAAAAUCAGCCCCCGAAGGUCGGGGUCACAAGACCCCCCAGCGGAAAAAUGGCCAAAAACCGGGUGGGCUAUAGCCUUGGUGGGGGGCGUGGGCGAAGUUCGUCCGCGGGACUCGGAAUGGCCCCAGACUUGGCGGGCGGCCUCCGUGUGCCAAAAAUAGGCCACGGGCACAGCCGCGCCCAAAAAUCAGCCCCCGAAGGUCGUGGUCCCAAGACCCCCCAGCGGAAAAAUGGCCAAGAAACGGGUGGGCUAUAGCCUUGGUGGGGGGCGUGGGCGAAGUUCGUCCGCGGGACUCGGAAUGGCCCCAGACUUGGCGGGCGGCCUCCGUGUGCCAAAAAUAGGCCACGGGCACAGCCGCGCCCAAAAAUCAGCCCCCGAAGGUCGGGGUCACAAGACCCCCCAGCGGAAAAAAGGCCAAGAAACGCGUGGGCUAUAGCCUUGGUGGGGGGCGUGGGCGAAGUUCGUCCGCGGGACUCGGAAUGGCCCCAGACUUGGCGGGCGGCCUCCGUGUGCCAAAAAUAGGCCACGGGCACAGCCGCGCCCAAAAAUCAGCCCCCGAAGGUCGGGGUCACAAGACCCCCCAGCGGAAAAAAGGCCAAGAAACGCGUGGGCUAUAGCCUUGGUGGGGGGCGUGGGCGAAGUUCGUCCGCGGGACUCGGAAUGGCACCAUACUUGGCGGGCGGCCUCCGUGUGCCAAAAAUAGGCCACGGGCACAGCCGCGCCCAAAAAUCAGCCCCCGAAGGUCGGGGUCCCAAGACCCCCCAGCGGAAAAAUGGCCAAAAAACGGGUGGGCUAUAGCCUUGGUGGGGGGCGUGGGCGAAGUUCGUCCGCGGGACUCGGAAUGGCACCAUACUUGGCGGGCGGCCUCCGUGUGCCAAAAAUAGGCCACGGGCACAGCCGCGCCCAAAAAUCAGCCCCCGAAGGUCGGGGUCCCAAGACCCCCCAGCGGAAAAAUGGCCAAAAAACGGGUGGGCUAUAGCCUUGGUGGGGGGCGUGGGCGAAGUUCGUCCGCGGGACUCGGAAUGGCCCCAGACUUGGCGGGCGGCCUCCGUGUGCCAAAAAUAGGCCACGGGCACAGCCGCGCCCAAAAAUCAGCCCCCGAAGGUCGGGGUCACAGCACCCCCCAGCGGAAAAAUGGCCAAAAAACGGGUGGGCUAUAGCCUUGGUGGGGGGCGUGGGCGAAGUUCGUCCGCGGGACUCGGAAUGGCACCAGACUUGGCGGGCGGCCUCCGUGUGCCAAAAAUAGGCCACGGGCACAGCCGCGCCCAAAAAUCAGCCCCCGAAGGUCGGGAUCCCAAGACCCCCCAGCGGAAAAAAGGCCAAAAAACGCGUGGGCUAUAGCCUUGGUGGGGGGCGUGGGCGAAGUUCGUCCGCGGGACUCGGAAUGGCACCAUACUUGGCGGGCGGCCUCCGUGUGCGAAAAAUAGGCCACGGGCACAGCCGCGCCCAAAAAUCAGCCCCCGAAGGUCGAGGUCCCAAGACCCCCCAGCGGAAAAAAGGCCAAAAAACGCGUGGGCGAUAGCCUUGGUGGGGGGCGUGGGCGAAGUUCGUCCGCGGGACUCGGAAUGCCCCCAUACUUGGCGGGCGGCCUCCGUGUGCCAAAAAUAGGCCACGGGCACAGCCACGCCCAAAAAUCAGCCCCCGAAGGUCGGGGUCACAAGACCCCCCAGCGGAAAAAUGGCCAAAAAACGGGUGGGCUAUAGCCUUGGUGGGGGGCGUGGGCGAAGUUCGUCCGCUGGACUCGGAAUGGCCCCAGACUUUGCGGGCGGCCUCCGUGUGCCAAAAAUAGGCCACGGGCACAGCCGCGCCCAAAAAUCAGCCCCCGAAGGUCGGGGUCCCAAGACCCCCCAGCGGAAAAAUGGCCAAAAAACGGGUGGGCUAUUGCCCUGGUGGGGGGCGUGGGCGAAGUUCGUCCGCGGGACUCGGAAUGGCACCAUACUUGGCGGGCGGCCUCUGUGUGCCAAAAAUAGGCCACGGGCACCGCCGCGCCCAAAAAUCAGCCCCCGAAGGUCGGGGUCCCAAGACCCCCCAGCGGAAAAAUGGCCAAAAAACGGGUGGGCUAUAGCCUUGGUGGGGGGCGUGGGCGAAGUUCGUCCGCGGGACUCGGAAUGGCACCAUACUUGGCGGGCGGCCUCUGUGUGCCAAAAAUAGGCCACGGGCACAGCCGCGCACAAAAAUCAGCCCCCGAAGGUCGGGGUCCCAAGACCCCCCAGCAGAAAAAUGGCCAAAAAACGGGUGGGCUAUAGCCUUGGUGGGGGGCGUGGGCGAACUUCGUCCGCGGGACUCGGAAUGGCCCCUGACUUGGCGGGCGGCCUCCGUGUGCCAAAAAUAGGCCACGGGCACAGCCGCGCCCAAAAAUCAGCCCCCGAAGGUCGGGGUCCCAAGACCCCCCAGCGGAAAAAUGGCCAAAAAACGGGUGGGCUAUAGCCUUGGUGGGGGGUGUGGACGAACUUCGUCCGCGGGACUCGGAAUGGCCCCUGACUUGGCGGGCGGCCUCCGUGUGCCAAAAAUAGGCCACGGGCACAGCCGUGCCCAAAAAUCAGCCCCCGAAGGUCGGGGUCCCAAGACCCACCAGCGGAAAAAUGCCAAAAAACGGGUGGGGCUAUAGCCUUGGUGGGCGGCGUGGGCGAAGUUCGUCCGCGGGACUCGGAAUGGCACCAGUCUCGGCGGGCGGCCUCUGUGUGCCAAAAAUAGGCCACGGGCACAGCCGCGCCCAAAAAUCAGCCCCCGAAGGUCGGGGUCCCAUGACCCCCCAGCGGAAAAAUGGCCAAAAAACGGGUGGGCUAUAGCCUUGGUGGUGGGCGUGGGCGAAGUUCGUCCGCGGGACUCGGAAUGGCACCAUACUUGGCGGGCGGCCUCUGUGUGCCAAAAAUAGGCCACGGGCACAGCCGCGCCCAAAAAUCAGCCCCCGAAGGUCGGGGUCCCAAGACCCCCCAGCGGAAAAAUGGCCAAAAAACGGGUGGGCUAUAGCCUUGGUGGGGGGCGUGCGCGAACUUCGUCCGCGGGACUCGGAAUGGCACCAUAUUUGGCGGGCGGCCUCCGUGUGCCAAAAAUAGGCCACGGGCACAGCCGCGCCCAAAAAUCAGCCCCCGAAGGUUGGGGUCCCAAGACCCCCCAGCGGAAAAAUGGCCAAAAAACGGGUGGGCUAUAGCCUUGGUGGGGGGCGUGGGCGAACUUCGUCCGCGGGACUCGGAAUGGCCCCUGACUUGGCGGGCGGCCUCCGUGUGCCAAAAAUAGGCCACGGGCACAGCCGCGCCCAAAAAUCAGCCCCCGAAGGUCGAGGUCCCAAGACCCCCCAGCGGAAAAAUGGCCAAAAAACGGGUGGGCUAUAGCCUUGGUGGGCGGCGUGGGCGAAGUUCGUCCGCGGGACUCGGAAUGGCACCAUACUUGGCGGGCGGCCUCUGUGUGCCAAAAAUAGGCCACGGGCACAGCCGCGCCCAAAAAUCAGCCCCCGAAGGUCGGGGUCCCAAGACCCCCCAGCAGAAAAAUGGCCAAAAAACGGGUGGGCUAUAGCCUUGGUGGGGGGCGUGGGCGAACUUCGUCCGCGGGACUCGGAAUGGCCCCUGACUUGGCGGGCGGCCUCCGUGUGCCAAAAAUAGGCCACGGGCACAGCCGCGCCCAAAAAUCAGCCCCCGAAGGUCGGGGUCCCAAGACCCCCCAGCGGAAAAAUGGCCAAAAAACGGGUGGGCUAUAGCCUUGGUGGGGGGCGUGGGCGAACUUCGUCCGCGGGACUCGGAAUGGCCCCUGACUUGGUGGGCGUCCUCCGUGUGCCAAAAAUAGGCCACGGGCACAGCCGCGCCCAAAAAUCAGCCCCCGAAGGUCGGGGUCCCAAGACCCCCCAGCGGAAAAAUGGCCAAAAAACGGGUGAGCUAUAGCCUUGGUGGGCGGCGUGGGCGAAGUUCGUCCGCGGGACUCGGAAUGGCACCAUACUUGGCGGGCGGCCUCCGUGUGUCAACAAUAGGCCACGGGCACAGCCGCGCCCAAAAAUCAGCCCCCGAAGGUCGGGGUCCCAAGACCCCCCAGUGGAAAAAUGGCCAAAAAACGGGUGGGCUAUAGCCUUGGUGGGGGGCGUGGGNNNNNNNNNNNNNNNNNNNNNNNNNNNNNNNNNNNNNNNNNNNNNNNNNNNNNNNNNNNNNNNNNNNNNNNNNNNNNNNNNNNNNNNNNNNNNNNNNNNNCGGAAUGGCCCCUGUCUUCGCGGGCGGCCUCCGUGUGCCAAAAAUAGGCCACGGGCACAGCCGCGCCCAAAAAUCAGCCCCCGAAGGUCGGGGUCCCAUGACCCCCCAGCGGAAAAAUGGCCAAAAAACGGGUGGGCUAUAGCCUUGGUGGGGGGCGUGGGCGAAGUUCGUCCGCGGGACUCGGAAUGGCACCAUACUUGGCGGGCGGCCUCUGUGUGCCAAAAAUAGGCCACGGGCACAGCCGCGCCCAAAAAUCAGCCCCCGAAGGUCGGGGUCCCAAGACCCCCCAGCGGAAAAAUGGCCAAAAAACGGGUGGGCUAUAGCCUUGGUGGGGGGCGUGCGCGAACUUCGUCCGCGGGACUCGGAAUGGCACCAUAUUUGGCGGGCGGCCUCCGUGUGCCAAAAAUAGGCCACGGGCACAGCCGCGCCCAAAAAUCAGCCCCCGAAGGUUGGGGUCCCAAGACCCCCCAGCGGAAAAAUGGCCAAAAAACGGGUGGGCUAUAGCCUUGGUGGGGGGCGUGGGCGAACUUCGUCCGCGGGACUCGGAAUGGCCCCUGACUUGGCGGGCGGCCUCCGUGUGCCAAAAAUAGGCCACGGGCACAGCCGCGCCCAAAAAUCAGCCCCCGAAGGUCGAGGUCCCAAGACCCCCCAGCGGAAAAAUGGCCAAAAAACGGGUGGGCUAUAGCCUUGGUGGGCGGCGUGGGCGAAGUUCGUCCGCGGGACUCGGAAUGGCACCAUACUUGGCGGGCGGCCUCUGUGUGCCAAAAAUAGGCCACGGGCACAGCCGCGCCCAAAAAUCAGCCCCCGAAAGUCGGGGUCCCAAGACCCCCCAGCGGAAAAAUGGCCAAAAAACGGGUGGGCUAUAGCCUUGGUGGGGGGCGUGGGCGAACUUCAUCCGCGGGACUC
RNAcentral lists this long non-coding RNA (7057 nucleotides) under Citrus x clementina. Its description in RNAcentral is "Citrus clementina (C. clementina) long non-coding RNA (CCLE_LNC004779)". The record is from RNAcentral. Lineage: Eukaryota; Viridiplantae; Streptophyta; Magnoliopsida; Sapindales; Rutaceae.